This is an RNA transcript of Branchiostoma floridae (Florida lancelet), 1782 nucleotides long. It is a transcript of the gene named cholinephosphotransferase 1-like, with no coding region annotated. The record is from RefSeq and is a predicted model, not a curated record. Lineage: Eukaryota; Metazoa; Chordata; Leptocardii; Amphioxiformes; Branchiostomatidae. The transcript is spliced from 11 exons.
GAAAAUCCUGUAUUUGCUGCCAACUUGUCAUCCAAAACGUCAGUCCAGGUCGCGCGGUUUCUGCGGAUUCAAGCGGCGAUUUUUAGCCAGAUCUCGCUCAGGAUGAGUCGGUACUUUCUGGAGAUGGCGCCCACGAUGUCCGAGGCGCAGCUGAAAGGGCUGGACGAGCACAAGUACUCGGCUUCGGGCACAUCGGCCGUGGAACCCGUCAUGCAGGUGUUCUGGCGCUGGCUGGUGGAGAAAGUUCCGCUGUGGGUGGCUCCGAACCUCAUCACACUGGUGGGGCUCAUUAUCAAUGUGGUGACAUCACUGCUGCUCAUGUACUACUCACCUACGGCUAAGGAAGAGGCCCCAGCGUGGGUGUACAUGUCCUGUGCCGUGGGGUUGUUCCUGUACCAGUCGUUAGACGCGAUCGACGGGAAGCAGGCCCGCCGGACCGGCAGCAGCACGCCGCUCGGGGAGCUGUUCGAUCACGGCUGCGACUCCAUAUCAACAGUGUUUGUUGGAGUGGCGACAUGCUGUGCCAUGACGAUGGGAGACAACCCAGACCUCAUGUUCAUCACGUUUUUCAACGCCGUCUUUGUCUUCUACUGCGCGCACUGGCAGACAUACGUGUCGGGCACACUCAAAUUUGGCUAUUUUGAUGUGACAGAAACUCAGUUUGGAGUGAUAAUGCUGUUCUUAAUGAGCAUGGUCCUGGGCCAUGAGUUCUGGGGGAUGCAGGUCCCCCUGGUGGGUUUGUCUGUCCGUGUGAUCGCAGUGAUCUGUUCCACGUCUCUCUCCACGUGGACAGUCUGGGGGAACUUCCAGACUAUCCUGAAGGGCGGAGCAGGGAAAAACGGCUCAACAGUAGCGGGUACGAGUGUCCUCUCGCCGGGGUUCCCGAUCCUGUUCCCCAUCGUCCUGGCUCUGAUGAUCUACAAGAAAUCCUCCAUGGGCCUGUUCCAGAACCACCCCUGCCUCUAUCUGCUCAUGUUCGGCAUGAGCAUAGGAAAAAUCACCAACAAACUGGUAAUUGCACAUAUGACGAAAAGUGAGAUGACGAUGUUUGACUCGUCGAUGAUUGGCCCUGGACUGCUGUUCCUGGACCAGUACUUCAACAGUUUUAUCAACGAGUACAUCGUUCUAUGGAUAAGUUUGAUAUUUGUGACCUUUGACCUGGUGCAGUACUGCUGCCUGGUGUGUCUGCAGAUCUGUGACCACCUGGACAUCUACUGUUUCAACAUCACCAGCAAACCCUCAAAAAAGGGGCUCAACAGUGGGAACGUGAGCAAGUUAAUAUAUUUAUGCAUCCUAUCAUGACUAAAGGAGGUCAUCAGGAUACAACAAUGUAGUUCAAGUAUUUCCCUCCAUGCAACCAGAGGUGCAGAAAAUCUGACAGUCUACAGCAGACCUCGUACCCGGUCCCUGACACGGGCCAACAGGGAACAGGACCGCUGAUUGGUCCAACGGUUUGAAUCCACCAAUAAGAGACAUGAAAACAUUUUGUUUGCCCAAUCAAGACUGCAAGCUGCCCAGGACUUACUGUAAUGAGAUUAUAAGAGUUGAUCAGGGAAGUUGAAGGUAGAUUUCAUAGAGAAUUUUAACAGUUUUAUACAUGUAUGUAUGGCCAACGGAAUACCACAGGUUUCUGAGAUUGUGAUGUGUGAGAUAUAUAUAUUAUACAUAUUAUAUAUAUAUAUAUUCUGUACUCGUAUGUGAAAGUGAAAACGCUAAAUCUAAUUGACGUGAACUUUUGCAAUAUUUCCGGUUGCUGCUUUUUUUGGUCCAUUUGCAAUACAC